UCUCCUGACGCUGAGGCACGAAAGCUAGGGUAGCGAAACAGAUUAGAGACCUGUGUAGUCCUAGCCGUAAACUAUCCCCGCUAGAUUCUGGUCGCAAGGCCGGAGUCGCAGUUAACACAUUAAGCGGGGCGCCUGGGGAGUACGGCCGCAAGGCUAAAACUCAAAGGAAUUGACGGGGACCCGCACAACCAGUGGAGCGUGUGGUUCAAUUUGAGACGAAGCAAAAAACCUCACCAGGGAUUGACAUGUAUUCGUUCACUCCGAUGGAAACAUUGGAGGAUCCCACCUUCAAGAGCAGAAAAAACAGAAUUUCAAAUGAAAUUGGGCAUUUGGAAUUUGAAAUUAGAAAUUUGAAAUUCAAAAACAUUUAUGUUUUUGAAGGUGGGAUGAUUACACAGGUGUUGCAUGGCUGUCGUCAGCUCGUGCCGUGAGGUGUUCCCUUAAGUGGGGAAACGAGUGCAACCCCUAUUCUAUGUUAAAUAUUCAUAGAAGACUGCCCCGUUUUUUACGGGGAGGAAGGAGGGGCGGACGUCAAGUCAGCAUGACCCUUAUACCCUGGGCUACACACACCCUACAAUGGCGAAAAACAAUGGGUUGCAAACCGGUAACGGCAAGCUAAUCCCUGAAAUUUCGCCUCAGUUCAGAUUGGGGUCUGAAACCCGACCCCAUGAAGUCGGAAUUGGUAGUAAUCGCGGAUCAGCAGGCCGCGGUGAAUACGUUCUCGGGUCUUGUACACACCGCCCGUCAAGGCAGCAAAGUCGGUAGCUAUCGAACCCCGCUUAGCGGGGGAGAUAGAGAUCGGUGAUGAAGCUUAAGUCGUAACAAGGUAUCCCUAGCCGAAGCUGGGGAUG
Molecule: ribosomal RNA, 851 nt
Filed under: Microgenomates group bacterium GW2011_GWC1_39_7
Lineage: Bacteria
Description: bacterial SSU rRNA
Rfam family: Bacterial small subunit ribosomal RNA
Source: RNAcentral